ACACAUCAACCAGAAAUUUUAGAACCAAUCAAAGAAGUAUCAACAUGCCUCAAACAUAUAAUCAAUUUAUCAUCAAGUGAUAUCAAAAACAAACUCGAAACACAAGCCUCAACGGUCAUGCAUUCCUUUAAUUCUACUUACUUUAUCUCCUAAGCAUAGAGAAGUCUAGAACCUAGGAUAUUUCAUGUAAAGGCUGCGAUCGAUACUCAGUGUCACUUAGAGUACCCUUCUACACUAAACAUGAAUCAUUAAGUGCUAUAGAAUUCUGAAUUUGAACAUGCCCAAGUGUACAGGAACCUGGUUAACCUGCAAACAUGUAACACAUAGUCUCGACUAUUAUUACAUAACCUUCACUACUGGAGAUCUCUACUUACUUGAAGAAGCUUAGUAUAGAUCGUAGCAACACUAACCUGCAUAUUAGAGUUUUAGUUCAAACAAAACUAUGCAUUUAAUGAAAUCAACAAUGCAUAAAACGAAUCACAUGCUAUCAUAGACAAGUUAAAAUAUGCUUUUUAUUCUGAAAAUUAACUUAUUCAUGUUCUUAACAACCAGCCAAUUCCAACUUUGAAAUCUAAUACAAGAAAACAAAGAACAAUAACAAGAUAGAAGAAACAAGACAUAGUUACACUUUAUGAAUAUUCAAGGAAGCUUGAGAUGUUUGAAGGAUAACACACGCUUUAUGCUUCUCGGCAACUUUCUGGAGAAGUCCUACAAAGGUGCUGGCUUGGAUUGCUUCUUUUCUAGAGAGAGGCAUUGAAAAGGAAAAUGAAGGCUUAUCUGAUUUUUGGGUGAAGAGGAGAUGAUCUGAGAAGUACACAAGGCUAUCUUUAUAUAGUGAAAAUCUUGAUGAAACUUCUCUUCCAAAAUGAUGUGGGACUAGCUCCAUAAGUUUGACUUCUUUUUUUUUUUUAGAGUUGGAAUCCAAACUUGUUUCUUCCUCCAAAAUGAUGUGGGACUAGAUGCACAUGUUUGACUUUUUUUCUUCCUUUUUAGAGUUGGAUUUCAAAUUUGCUUCUUCUUCCUUCCUUGGACUUGGAACCCAAAUUUACAUCUCCUUCCUUUCUUGGACUGCAAGAAGGCUUCUUUGUCUUUUUCUGUAUUUUUCUCUUAUUUCCGCCAUUUAGCCUUCUUUUCUCGAUUUAAGCUCUCAUGUCCUCUACAAUCACAAAACAUGUUAGAAAUGGUAUUAUUAAGGAAAUAACAUGGCCAAAUAGGGUAGGAAACACAUUAAAAUCAUAGCAUAUUAUACUCAUAUCAGCAAGGGCUCUUACUAUCCUCAGUAAUCAGCAAAAUCCCAAAAUUACGAGUUAUGGCCUUUGAACAUUACAGAAAUUACCUGAACUUCUCAAUUUUUCAACCAAAGCAGUUAAAUAAAUCAACUCAUUAUUCAAUUAUAAUGUACAGAUUAAAUCCACAAUUCCAUAUUAAAUCCAUUAUAAUGUUCUCAUAAGCUAAUACUAUGAUUGCAAAACAAAAAAGCAUGGACAAGUAUAAGCAAACAAAUUAAAUGUCAGGACCCACCCCGAAUUUCACCCUGAAACCUGAAAUAAAUUCUGCGGGGACCGCCUCCAAGGACAGUUUACCGAAAUAUCGGCAUAACCUCCCUUGAAAAUGGACAACCCUUCCUAAUAAUACCUGCAUACACUUCAAAAGAAUUCAUCUAUAACCCUCUCCUCUUGGAGCCUUUGUGCUCCCCAAAUCACAACAUCUCCCAAUUUAUUUACUCACUUUAAUAAGAAAAACUCACAACCAAUAAUCAUAGGUUCAGAGCAAUUCUAUUUGAGAGGAAAGGAAUUACAGAUAUAAAAAAUAAGCGGAAGCUAUACUAAUGACUACGCCUCUUCUCCAUGUACGCCCGACCUCAACAAAGCUAACCUACAUACUGGGCAUUUUUAAAACGAAAGACCCAGGGAAAAACAUUUGCAAACGUUAGAGUGAGUGGACAAAAAUGAAUUUAAUUAAAAUAUUUAUGCUUUCCCAACUUAAAUUUCCAUAGAAAAUAUGCUACAUGCGACAGCUUAAAAGCUCUCAACUCAUAAACUGGCAAAUACAUGACUAGCUCCGGCUAGUCUCCAAAAACUUAAUAAAAUACAGCCUCUCAGGCUAAACCAUAUAUAUAUAUAUAUAUAUAUAUAUGUAUGUAUUUACACUCGUCAUAUUCCUUGUACGAAUUCCAUGAAUGAAUAAGAAAAAUAGAAAUUCAUACAAGGCUACUACGCUUGCGUCUAACACUCACAUCGCACCAUAAUGAAAUUUUUACCUCAUUAUGGCGGAAAAACAUGAGUGUAUAUAUCCGUGCAUAUUCCCUAUAUAAAUUACUAAAUUUAUAUAGGGCUACGACGAUUGCGUCUAACGCUCACGUCGCGCCAUAAUUGAAUUUUUACCUCAUCAUGACGGAAAAACACGUAUAGCUAGCUAACAUUUAUUUAUAUACAUACUAUCCUCAUAAUCAUCCAUAUACAUAUCCACCGAAAAUCUCAUUUUCGGUAACUUUCCGAAAUAAUGAAAAUUUCCAAUUAUAAAAGAACAAUAACAAUAUGACUCCACCGAAAAUCAAGAAAGAUCGCCAAAUUAAAAUGACAUCACAAGCUCCAAUAAAAACAACUGUUCCACAAUAACUCAAUGCAUGCAUAUUAUUUAAAACAAACGUCCAUUUACAACUUUAGGCAUAAGCCUGACGAAAUCUAAUUCGCCACCCAAGUGAGGUCUCCUCGAAUCCUGGUACAAUAACCAUGCUUAGGACUAAACUUCAAUUUCAGAAAAAAUAAUACUUAAAUAUAUAACCCAAAACUCUUCCACCUAACCCACUACCUUUUCUAGGGUUAAGCUUAUCGGAUUGACACCAAACUCCAACCACAGCCUCAUUUCAUUUAUCUCUAAAUUCUAAAACAAUAAGGGAAAUCCAAUGGUCGGAUUCUACCCCAUUAACCACCAAAUUCACCAAUCUUUCAAAAAUCCCAAACCUAUCAAAAAAUUCCUCACUUCACAUCAUUAAACUCCCCUUAAUAUUAAACAUUUAAAACCAUGAAAAAUCCCCCUAACAGCGGCGGCGCCACCGUCUGCUCCGCCGGCAACGGCGGCCGACGGCCGACUCCAGCAACCUCAAUGCCUACCAAAAUUUAACAGCAUCUUCCUCUCAACCCCCUCUACAACUUUCCUAACUAGCACAAACACAAAUUCCAAGCCUAGAUAGGGCAAUCGAACAAAAACAUCAAAUGAGCCCUAGAAUUUCCAACACCAAAAUCUCCUUACCUAGACUAAGGGGGAGGGAAGCCUUUGGAGGGAUUGAUGCAUGGGAGGAGAGGUUCCAAAUGAGCCAAGAAUCGCCGACUAUGGCGGUCGGAGGAGAGAGUUCUAGCGAGAAGACCAUCAGGCUUCUAAGGAGGACUUCCUCCGCUCGGUGGCGUUGCAGCGCCGCUCACCAGCCCAGGAAGACGGCGGAGAGGGCGACGGACUGAGCUGGACCGGUGCGGCGUCUCCUCCUGGCCGGACGGCGGCGAUGGGAGCUCGGGGUUUCCGGCAGUGUGAGAGGAAGAGGGAGAGUCGGGGAAAGAAGAGAAGGAAGAGAAAAGAGAAAAGAGAAAUGGUUUGGGCCUCCCCAAACCGGUCCAACACCUUAAUACCCACACUUAAAAUACACCCAACUCCAAAAAUAAUACCCUAAUAAAAAUUACCUUUUACUAGCUAAAAUUUACCAUUUUUACCGUCGUCAUAUUUUUCUUCUACGAAUAAUUCCUCCGAAAUAAACGUCUCCGAAAACCCCUCUGGGGACCAAUUAAACCAUAACUCAUUGACGAAGACAGUAAAACUCUUAUUAAUACCAAGCUAGUAAAUAAGGUAAAAAUUUAAGGGUCGGGAUGUGACAUUAAAAGUAUUAGCAAAUAUGAACAAGAUAAUUCUUUUCAAUGCCCAGAUGCCUCUAGACUCCUCUUUAGCAAUCAAAACUACUUGAAGAUAGAAUCACGACUUCAUAUAAGCUAUAUAUGCUGAAAGCAAUAAUAUAUAGCAUCAUGGGCCAUUUCAAUUUGUCUAGCAAAGCUCAAAUAAGUCCGUUUUCAGAUUAUAUAUGAAAAAUAAGUACUGAAAUAGCAUCCUGGGCCAUUUCAAUUUGUCUAGCAAAGCUCAAAUAAGUCCGUUUCCAGAUUAUAUAUGAACAAUAAGUACUGAAAUUAAGCAAAAGAAGUAUAAUAACAUGAUCGAUCAUGAUUGGCAACUUAGAUCAAUAAUUUGGCAACUUCAAUAAACUGUAUAUUGAAACCAAUUUCAUUUUCAGAAAAACCGAUUCUUAUUAUCAAAAGAUUGAUGCCAUGAUUAUAUACGCCGAUCAAGGGAAGCAAUAGAAAAACAUGAAACGAAUAAUAAUCGAUCGAAUAGAACGAAACAACAAAGAAACACAAUUGAUGUUACCUACAGUAGCCAUCACUGGAGUCUCUUUUUUGGUGCCCAGUGUUCUUCAAUUUUACGAUGAGAACAUAUGUAUAUAUAGGAUUAGGGUUGAGAAGUAAACUAGUAUGGAAGACCUCUAUUAUCGGCGAGUAUCCUGUCUGCUCUUGGUGCGUAUUUUCAUUGCUCUUGACGCCUAUUUUCAUUACUCUUGGCGCCUAUUGUUUCUAUGUGAUGCCUAUUGUUUCUAUGCGAUAUAAGAAGAUAUUCUUAUAGAUAAGGG
RNAcentral lists this long non-coding RNA (4666 nucleotides) under Fragaria vesca (wild strawberry). RNAcentral's name for it is "long non-coding RNA (FVES_LNC000729)". Lineage: Eukaryota; Viridiplantae; Streptophyta; Magnoliopsida; Rosales; Rosaceae. The record is from RNAcentral.